Long non-coding RNA from Sarcophilus harrisii (Tasmanian devil), 230 nucleotides. RefSeq lists it as uncharacterized. NCBI's taxonomy places the organism in Eukaryota, Metazoa, Chordata, Mammalia, Dasyuromorphia, Dasyuridae. The transcript is spliced from 2 exons. The record is from RefSeq and is a predicted model, not a curated record.
UAUAGCUUUCCAGGACUUAGCUGUUUACAUACGAUCUCCCCCAGUAGACAGCAAACUUCUCAAAUAAUCCAAAGAAGUAUGGAGAAGCUCUUAUUAACUGAUGUAAAGUGAAGAAAGCAUCAUCAAGAAAAACAGACAUACUCUCUCAGAUAUACACAUAUAUGAUGAUUUAGAACAAUGUAAAUGAGAAGACCAAAAAAGGAAAAAAAAAAAAAAAAAGGAAACAAAGC